RNAcentral lists this ribosomal RNA (440 nucleotides) under uncultured bacterium. RNAcentral's name for it is "partial 16S ribosomal RNA". It matches the Rfam family "Bacterial small subunit ribosomal RNA", at positions 338 to 795 of the family's 1533-position model. The record is from RNAcentral.
CCUACGGGUGGCAGCAGUGGGGGAUAUUGCACAAUGGGGGGAACCCUGAUGCAGCGACGCCGCGUGGGUGAAGAAGCGCCUCGGUGCGUAAAGCCCUGUCAGCAGGAAAGAAAAUGACGGUACCUGACGAAGAAGCCCCGGCUAACUACGUGCCAGCAGCCGCGGUAAUACGUAGGGGGCAAGCGUUAUCCGGAUUUACUGGGUGUAAAGGGGGCGCAGACGGCGAUGCAAGCCAGGAGUGAAAGCCCGGGGCCCAACCCCGGGACUGCUCUUGGAACUGCGUGGCUGGAGUGCAGGAGGGGCAGGCGGAAUUCCUGGUGUAGCGGUGAAAUGCGUAGAUAUCAGGAGGAACACCGGUGGCGAAGGCGGCUUGCUGGACUGCAACUGACGUUGAGGCCCGAAAGCGUGGGGAGCAAACAGGAUUAGAUACCCGGGUAGUC